UCGAUGGGUGCGGGCGACGCUACACCUCGAACCUGGUCAGGGUCGGAAGGCAGCAGCCAUAAGGGGCCUCUGGCGGGCGCCCGUUCCCAUCGAGUGC
RNAcentral lists this signal recognition particle RNA (97 nucleotides) under Olsenella profusa F0195. Its description in RNAcentral is "Bacterial signal recognition particle RNA". It matches the Rfam family "Bacterial small signal recognition particle RNA". From Rfam's summary of the family: The signal recognition particle (SRP) is a universally conserved ribonucleoprotein involved in the co-translational targeting of proteins to membranes. Lineage: Bacteria; Bacillati; Actinomycetota; Coriobacteriia; Coriobacteriales; Atopobiaceae. The record is from RNAcentral.